Molecule: unclassified non-coding RNA, 194 nt
Filed under: uncultured fungus
Lineage: Eukaryota; Fungi
Description: sequence contains ITS1
Source: RNAcentral
GUUACUUUUAUAGUUUUUUACAUUCAAGACAUGUGGUUGUAUGUUAAAGCGGAAGCGAACCUGCAUGCAGGAUGCGACCGAAAUGUGCACAGGUGUGUGAAUUUUAUCAGCGUGCAGCCUAAGCGCACAGCUGAAGAGUUUGACCCGGAGGUCAAGAAUCUUUAAUGAUCCUUCCGCAGGUUCACCUACGGAAA